CAGCAGUCGCGGCAAUACAAGGAAGACAAGUGUUAUUCAUCUUAAAUCGGUUUAAGGGGUACCUAGACGGUAAAUUAGGCCAUAGUAGGUACGUUUUUACUAGAGUUAUACAUGCAUGGGGAUUGUGUCAGUAUUACCAGAGUAGAGAUGAAAUUUUUUGAUACUGUUAAGACUGGUAAAGGCGAAAGCAAACCUUUAUAUAUUAACUGACGUUGAGGGACGAAGGCUUGGGGAGCAAACAGGAUUAGAUACCCUAAUAGUCCAGGCAGAGAAUUAUGAAUGUCAUAGGUUAUACUUAAUGUAGUCUAUAAAUGAAAGUGUAAGCAUUCCACCUCAAGAGUAAUGUGGCAACGCAGGAACUGAAAUCAUUAGACCGUUUCUGAUACCAGUAGUGAAGUAUGUUGUUUAAUUUGUCGGUCCACAAAGAACCUUACCACAAUUUGAAUAUAUUUAAUAUAUAUAUAUAUAUUUAUAUAUAUAUAUAUUUAUUUAUACAAGCGUUGCAUUGUUGUCUUCAGUUAAUGUUGUGAGACUUUGAUUAGAUUCAUAAAAUUAACGUAAUCCUAUAAUCUAUUUAAAUAUUAAUAGCUUAGUACACCGCAAUUAUGUGGUUUUGUUAACCGGGAGUAAGACAAGUCGUAAUGACCUUAAUCUUGUGGGCUAUAGACGUGCCACA
Molecule: ribosomal RNA, 676 nt
Filed under: Astrothelium macrocarpum
Lineage: Eukaryota; Fungi; Ascomycota; Dothideomycetes; Trypetheliales; Trypetheliaceae
Description: SSU rRNA
Rfam family: Bacterial small subunit ribosomal RNA
Source: RNAcentral